This is a long non-coding RNA of Bufo gargarizans (Asiatic toad), 415 nucleotides long. RefSeq lists it as uncharacterized. The transcript is spliced from 3 exons. Lineage: Eukaryota; Metazoa; Chordata; Amphibia; Anura; Bufonidae. The record is from RefSeq and is a predicted model, not a curated record.
CAACGAUCCACGUCUAGUGGGGAACAUCGCCAAUAUCCAAACCGUAACCAACGCAGAACCCGAGGUACCAAUCAAGGACAUCGAGGUGGGGAGACUACGGGUCAUCAGACAUCCACUAUGACAACCCGCUCUCAGGUUUCGUGAUCUCUACACCCAGUGCCGCAGGGGAUAUCCCACACCAUUGUGAUUUAUAUAACCUGCAACUAAAUAAUCAACAGGACGGCGAAACCUUUAUUUAUUUUAUUUGACUUUUUUUCCCCCUUUUUCUUUCUUUUGACAUAUGUAUGUACAUUAUGAAGAUAUUCCUAUAAUCAAUGAUGUAAAUUGACUGGAUACUAAUUGUUACUGAAAUUAUCUUAUUGUAAUUUCCAUAGUGCCUGACGAAGGCCAGAUACGGCCGAAAACGUUUGCACAA